Molecule: unclassified non-coding RNA, 233 nt
Filed under: Hevea brasiliensis (rubber tree)
Lineage: Eukaryota; Viridiplantae; Streptophyta; Magnoliopsida; Malpighiales; Euphorbiaceae
Source: RNAcentral
GAAAAACCCAAGUACAAAGCAAUCAAACACUGACAGGAAAAUAGCUAGAGAAGGGGACAGCGACACAGGAAAUAGUGUAUGAGACAGAACAGAUUCAGCAAGCCCAGAAACCCAUCUCUGACACAACAACAAAAUUCAGAUAUGCUGCAAAAACUACCUUUUUUUUUUCCUUCUACAAAAUCCUAAAACAAGCUCGCCACAAUCAUCGAAAACUAUCAAAUGAGAUAUAAAAU